AUGUGGCGGCCGAUGCCAAAAAGUCAGCGUGGCCCACCACCGACCCCAUAUACUCACAUCCGUUUUCGGAGGGCGUCCACGGGAACCGUUAGGUGCUCGUGCCCUCGUCGAUGCCGGGCCGGUCGAGGACACCCGAGUCGAAGGCGCGGACCACAUUACGUGAGCAACAACGCGCAAGGGAGAGGUUGGCGGCGGGUGACACGUUGGCGAGGGGCCGGGCAAUUGCACACAUGUCAGUCGAUCCGAGGACCCGCUCAUUGUAUCUGUCCUCCGCCACUCCUUGGUAUCGGCGAAGUCAGAUGCGCGACGGCUCCGGAGGAAGAACGCCAAAGCGCUCCGGCUCGCCAUCGAGCUGUGGGAGUGCGAGGCAAUGGCGAAGGCGAGGAGGCACGCUGA
This 396-nucleotide ribosomal RNA is filed under the name Triticum aestivum (bread wheat). RNAcentral's name for it is "partial small subunit ribosomal RNA". The record is from RNAcentral. Lineage: Eukaryota; Viridiplantae; Streptophyta; Magnoliopsida; Poales; Poaceae.